ACACAUGCAAGUCGAACGAGUGAGAGAGAGCUUGCUUUCUCGAGCGAGUGGCGAACGGGUGAGUAACGCGUGAGGAACCUGCCUCAAAGAGGGGGACAACAGUUGGAAACGACUGCUAAUACCGCAUAAGCCCACGACCCGGCAUCGGGUAGAGGGAAAAGGAGCAAUCCGCUUUGAGAUGGCCUCGCGUCCGAUUAGCUAGUUGGUGAGGUAACGGCCCACCAAGGCGACGAUCGGUAGCCGGACUGAGAGGUUGAACGGCCACAUUGGGACUGAGACACGGCCCAGACUCCUACGGGAGGCAGCAGUGGGGAAUAUUGCACAAUGGGGGAAACCCUGAUGCAGCGACGCCGCGUGGAGGAAGAAGGUCUUCGGAUUGUAAACUCCUGUUGUUGAGGAAGAUAAUGACGGUACUCAACAAGGAAGUGACGGCUAACUACGUGCCAGCAGCCGCGGUAAAACGUAGGUCACAAGCGUUGUCCGGAAUUACUGGGUGUAAAGGGAGCGCAGGCGGGAAGACAAGUUGGAAGUGAAAUCCAUGGGCUCAACCCAUGAACUGCUUUCAAAACUGUUUUUCUUGAGUAGUGCAGAGGUAGGCGGAAUUCCCGGUGUAGCGGUGGAAUGCGUAGAUAUCGGGAGGAACACCAGUGGCGAAGGCGGCCUACUGGGCACCAACUGACGCUGAGGCUCGAAAGUGUGGGUAGCAAACAGGAUUAGAUACCCUGGUAGUCCACACUGUAAACGAUGAUUACUAGGUGUUGGAGGAUUGACCCCUUCAGUGCCGCAGUUAACACAAUAAGUAAUCCACCUGGGGAGUACGACCGCA
Molecule: ribosomal RNA, 826 nt
Filed under: uncultured bacterium
Lineage: Bacteria
Description: bacterial SSU rRNA
Rfam family: Bacterial small subunit ribosomal RNA
Source: RNAcentral